This 407-nucleotide ribosomal RNA is filed under the name uncultured bacterium. RNAcentral's name for it is "partial 16S ribosomal RNA". It matches the Rfam family "Bacterial small subunit ribosomal RNA", at positions 30 to 526 of the family's 1533-position model. The record is from RNAcentral.
AUUGAACGCUGGCGGCAGGCCUAACACAUGCAAGUCGAGCGGCUCGGCGGACCGGCGAGGAAUGGCUAGGUAUCUGCCUGGUUGUGGGGGAUAAAGUUCGGAAACGGGAGCUCAUCCCGUAUUCUAUUACAUUAGCCUAUGUCGGAUUGGCUAGUUGGUGGGGUAAAGGCAUACCAAGGCGACGACCCGUAACUGGUCUGAGAGGAUGAUCAGUCACACUGGAACUGAGACACGGUCCAGACUCCUACGGGAGGCAGCAGUGGGGAAUAUUGGACAAUGGGCGAAAGCCUGAUCCAGCCAUGCCGCGUGUGUGAAGAAGGUCUUCGGAUUGUAAAGCACUUUAAGUUGGGAGGCGUUACCAACAGAAUAAGCACCGGCUAACUUCGUGCCAGCAGCCGCGGUAAUUC